CAAAAUUUGUUUUUGGAAUAAAAGUUGUUUGGCUCAAAGUUACUUUUAUAAGGUGUAAAUUUUUUUUUUGAAUGAUUUGGGAUAAAUUUAUUGCUUGCCUUUUUUCUCCUUGAAGGAGGUAAGGAAGGUAAGCCAUAUUGUUCACAAAAAUUUCCUAGUUCAUAUUUAGCUGUUUUCUUAUCUGAUUUCAUUUGAGCAUUUAGUUUCAUAUCUAUACACAUUUUUAAUCAUUCUUUUUGGAUAACUGUAAUUAUAUUUCCAUAAGUUAAAUAAUCGUAAUGAAUGUGACUUGUUUCAUUACUAAGGACUUGCCUGAUUUUAUGAGUAAAUAAUUUUGGAAGACCAUUUAUGAAUUUUUUUUCCAAAAUAAUUGGUUACUAUCGUCUUUGAGCAAAACUCGAGAAAUAAAAACAUCUUUGUACCAUUUGAAAUCACUUAAGGUAGGUCACUUAAGGUUAUUGAGUUGGUUAUGAAUUCUCACUACCAGGACAAGCACUUUAGCCGACGAAAAAUUUUCUUCGGCCUGUUAGCUUAAUUCGUCGGUUAAGAUCUUAGCCGACGAGCCAUCGUCGGCUAAGAUUUCGUCGGGAAAAGGUCGUUUGUGAUGACUUUAGCCGACGAAAAAAAAAUUUCGUCGGCUAUAGUCCCGCAGUUUAGCCGACGAAAAACAUGUCGUCGGUUUUUUUCCCAGACUUUAGCCGACGAAACAAUUAAGAUAUUCGUCGGCUAAAGUCUGUAAUAAAAAAAUUUUUCCCAGACUAUAGCCGACGAAAUAUAGUAUGUUUCAUCGGCUAAACCUUAUAAAAAAAUUUAAAAAAAUAACUAUAGCCGACGAAAUAUAGUCUGUUUCGUCGGCUAAACCUUAUAAAAAAUUUAAAAAAAUAACUAUAGCCGACGAAAUAUAGUUUGUUUCGUCGGCUAAACCUUAUAAAAAAA
This 936-nucleotide long non-coding RNA is filed under the name Fragaria vesca (wild strawberry). RNAcentral describes it as "long non-coding RNA (FVES_LNC005161)". Lineage: Eukaryota; Viridiplantae; Streptophyta; Magnoliopsida; Rosales; Rosaceae. The record is from RNAcentral.